UACAGAGGGUGCAAGCGUUAAUCGGAAUUACUGGGCGUAAAGGGAGCGUAGGCGGCGUGGUAAGUCAGAUGUGGAAUUCCGGGGCUCAACCCCGGAACUGCAUCCGAUACUGCCAUGCUAGAGGAUUGGAGAGGUAGCUGGAAUUCUUGGUGUAGCAGUGAAAUGCGUGGAUAUCAAGAGGAACACUCGUGGCGAAAGCGAGCUACUGGACAAUUCCUGACGCUGAGGCUCGAAGGCUAGGGUAGCGAAAGGG
This 253-nucleotide ribosomal RNA is filed under the name uncultured bacterium. Its description in RNAcentral is "partial 16S ribosomal RNA". It matches the Rfam family "Bacterial small subunit ribosomal RNA", at positions 524 to 776 of the family's 1533-position model. The record is from RNAcentral.